This 2677-nucleotide small RNA is filed under the name Malus domestica (apple). RNAcentral's name for it is "sRNA MD09G0114800". The record is from RNAcentral. Lineage: Eukaryota; Viridiplantae; Streptophyta; Magnoliopsida; Rosales; Rosaceae.
CUCACCUCUUCUUCCUGCUUUAGGUGGUUCGUUCUUUCCAUUGGAUUAUGUUUGGGUGAGUUCUUAGUUCAUAGUUGCGCUCCUCCCGACUUCGAUUCCCCGUUCGAACACAAACCCAAACCUUUUAAUCUCCUUCCCCAAAUCAACACGAUCAUCCAUUAAUUUUAAUUCGCGCCCAAGUCCUUAGAACGCUCGAACCCAGUUUGGGUUCGAUAUUCCCGCCGACUUUCAAAGGUUUUCCGGUGGCGGCUGGCCCUGCAACCAAAACUAUUUGACUCAGACAGUCCCAACAACAACAUGUGAGCUUUGCAUGCUCGAAUCUACCCGUCGAUCAAAGAUUUCCAUAAGUCCACCUUGCGGUGGGUUUUUUCGACGAGGAUCGGAAUCUUUUUCGGCCAAUUUCAGGCCUUUGAGACCUUUUUUGGGUCCAGCCAAGGAUGAUCAUGAAUGAAUGGUACUCUUCUGCAAUGGCGGGAUUUGUUAUCUGUGGGGCAACUGAUUGGAUUCUGUAAAUCAAUUUGGUGGAGGAGUUGUUCCGUAGCCUGAGGAAGAACAGAGCAAUGUUUUUGAAACAAGUACCCACAAGCUCUCUUUCGCAGAAAUGACGAACCCAGCUCGACUUCUCUUUCAAAACUCAGGUCGAGUCCUCGACUUCUCUCUUCUAUUGCUCUCGAAUUCGCCCUCUCUCGCUGACGGUUUUUGGUGCCUCGUGGAUUCUGACUGCCUCCGCAGCCGUGAAAUCAUAGAAAUCAUCAUCGAUCAAGCCCUUGCUGUUCACAAGAUCCAGCUUUCUGAAGCUUUGGCUCAAUUUGAUCCGGCUUGGUUCUGCUCCUCGCCUUGCUGUUAACAAGAUCCAGUUGUUAAGAAAAUUUUAGCGUUGUUUUUGUGGCUAUUAUAUGAUUGGCUGACAAAUAGUGCCUUUAGCACUACCUUCUCUCUCACUGAGCCCUAGCUCAAACCCUCAUCCGCCGUCGCUAACCUACACCCUCCACUGCCCGCACUUCAAAUCGUGCUCCGAGUGUACUCACGAGUUCAAUCUCCACCGUCCUGUCAUCGAUGAGGCGACGGAGUUCUUCAAGACAGUUGGAGUCUCAGAUUUCACUUUUGACAGUUGCAAAUUUGUGCUUUACUUGACUUUUUUUUCCCCUUAAUUUCGUGAAGUUUAGGCCUUUUCUUAAAAUUUAAAUAAAAAGAAAUAUCUAUCUGGUAUUGGUUAGUUUUGAUCUUGAUAUUAACUGGGUUUGGUGUUCGUGGGGAUGGCAGUGUCUCGCAAAGUUAGCCGUUCUUGGGUCACCAGGUCACCACAAAACCCCCUGAUUGGGCUUUAUCAUUAGGAACUCAUAGUGUAGUAGAUAUUCCUCAAUGCAAAGCUCAUUGUCCAAGUAUAAAUGCUGCUGUGGAGCUGCCUAAAGAAGGUCCCUUUCCGGUUAUUAAAACUCAAUGUUACCUGUUUUCAUUUCCAGUUUUUAAGUCUUCUAUUUGUUUGCUUGCUGCAAUUAUUCAACUUAACUACCAUUUGGAUCAUGUGAAUGACAACUUUCAUGUAUAUUUUCAAAUAAUGAGCAGUUUAUUGCUGUUAAUCUGUUGAUCACUGUAUAUGUUGCUGAUUUACCUACUCAAACAACGUACAUGUUAACAUUGAUAUAUAAAACUUAUUUAUAUGUUAAUAGUAUGGUUUCUUUACAUUUGAGAUUGGUUGAACAACAACAUUUUCUACUUUCCCAUGCCAACUCACUCCACUCUGUUCGAAGCUCUUCAACUUUUGCACACAAAUUGCUCAAAAAUUCCUGCUCUCAAACAUCUUAGAUCCCUUACUCACCCUUCUGGCAUCAACACCCAAAGGUAUAUUUCUCUCAUUGCUUUCACAAUUCAGUGUGUGUAUAUAUAUAUGUAUAUAUAUGCUGAAAUGUAUGAAGACAUUCACAUAUUGUAGAACUAAAAGGACGGUAGAAUGCUUGAAUAAUGGAAUGGAGUCGAGAUUAUGUUGAGAAAGGACAGUAAAUAGCUAUCACUAUGUGAAUCCGACAUUCACCUCUCCCAGACCCUGCGUAAAGCGGGAGCCUUGUGCACUGGGUACGACCUUUUAUUGUAUUUCCCAUGUUGAGAGAAAGAACUAAAAGGAUAGUAAAGUGCUCGAAUAAUGGAACCGAAUCGAGAUUAUGCCCAAGGGCCACUUGCCAAAUGGUCAGAUUAUUGCUGUAAAAUAUGUAGAUUGCACUUGAACAAGAAGAUUGAGAAACAGAAGGUUGGAGGACUAGAUGAUCAAGCACUGCCUUAUUUUUAAAGAAAAGGAUAUUGACUAUAAUAUUCACUUAAUCAGUUCUCUGUAUUAUCCUUUCUUCAACAGGGGUUGAGAACAAUAUUUAAUAUGUAGGUUGUAUUGAUUGAAUAUUUGGUUUUGUUGGUUGAAAAGUUUAAUAUCGUUUAUUUGUAUGCUCCGAUCUUUGGUUGACGCUGUUAUGUGGAAAAGACCCCUUAUAAAAGAUUAGAGAUGUAACUGUAAACAAAUAACAGGACCUCCAUACAUUCCUGAGCAUCGCUUUUAUUUAGUGGAUUACAGUGAAUUGUUAUCCUGUGUAGAUAAAGUUGAAAUUCUCAUAGAUGUUGUGGGACGCAUCACAGCAGUGCAACCAGACAGUUUUGAAUCCCGCAGCAUCGCGCGGGCUUCACUGCUUGU